GGGAGAUCGGCGAUGGACGAGCGCCUUGCCAACCCGGUCAGGUCCGGAAGGAAGCAGCCGCAGUGAGUUUCGCCCGGGUUAUCUGUCCGGUCUCCCACCCCGGGACUUU
Molecule: signal recognition particle RNA, 109 nt
Filed under: Gluconacetobacter diazotrophicus PA1 5
Lineage: Bacteria; Pseudomonadati; Pseudomonadota; Alphaproteobacteria; Acetobacterales; Acetobacteraceae
Description: SRP RNA; RNA component of signal recognition particle
Rfam family: Bacterial small signal recognition particle RNA (bases 2-98)
About the family: The signal recognition particle (SRP) is a universally conserved ribonucleoprotein involved in the co-translational targeting of proteins to membranes.
Source: RNAcentral